Molecule: ribosomal RNA, 804 nt
Filed under: actinomycete N2D7.UGM050509-02
Lineage: Bacteria; Bacillati; Actinomycetota; Actinomycetes; Actinomycetales
Description: bacterial SSU rRNA
Rfam family: Bacterial small subunit ribosomal RNA
Source: RNAcentral
AGCUCGUAGGCGGUUUGUCGCGUCUGCUGUGAAAUCCCGAGGCUCAACCUCGGGUCUGCAGUGGGUACGGGCAGACUAGAGUGUGGUAGGGGAGAUUGGAAUUCCUGGUGUAGCGGUGGAAUGCGCAGAUAUCAGGAGGAACACCGAUGGCGAAGGCAGAUCUCUGGGCCAUUACUGACGCUGAGGAGCGAAAGCAUGGGGAGCGAACAGGAUUAGAUACCCUGGUAGUCCAUGCCGUAAACGUUGGGCGCUAGAUGUGGGGACCAUUCCACGGUUUCCGUGUCGUAGCUAACGCAUUAAGCGCCCCGCCUGGGGAGUACGGCCGCAAGGCUAAAACUCAAAGGAAUUGACGGGGGCCCGCACAAGCGGCGGAGCAUGCGGAUUAAUUCGAUGCAACGCGAAGAACCUUACCAAGGCUUGACAUAUACCGGAAACGUUCAGAAAUGUUCGCCCCGCAAGGUCGGUAUACAGGUGGUGCAUGGUUGUCGUCAGCUCGUGUCGUGAGAUGUUGGGUUAAGUCCCGCAACGAGCGCAACCCUCGUCGUAUGUUGCCAGCACGUAAUGGUGGGAACUCAUAUGAGACUGCCGGGGUCAACUCGGAGGAAGGUGGGGAUGACGUCAAAUCAUCAUGCCCCUUAUGUCUUGGGCUUCACGCAUGCUACAAUGGCUGGUACAAUGGGCUGCAAUACCGCGAGGUGGAGCGAAUCCCAAAAAGCCAGUCUCAGUUCGGAUUGGGGUCUGCAACUCGACCCCAUGAAGUCGGAGUCGCUAGUAAUCGCAGAUCAGCAACGCUGCGGUGAAUAC